ACGCUGGCGGCGUGUUUAACACAUGCAAGUCGAACGAUGGUCCCCAGCUUGCUGGGGGGAUUAGUGGCGAACGGGUGAGUAACACGUGAGUAACCUGCCCUUGACUCUGGGAUAAGCCUGGGAAACUGGGUCUAAUACCGGAUACGACCACUCCGCGCAUGCGGUGGUGGUGGAAAGCCUUGUGCGGUUUUGGAUGGACUCGCGGCCUAUCAGCUUGUUGGUGGGGUAAUGGCCUACCAAGGCGACGACGGGUAGCCGGCCUGAGAGGGUGACCGGCCACACUGGGACUGAGACACGGCCCAGACUCCUACGGGAGGCAGCAGUGGGGAAUAUUGCACAAUGGGCGCAAGCCUGAUGCAGCGACGCCGCGUGAGGGAUGACGGCCUUCGGGUUGUAAACCUCUUUCAGUAGGGAAGAAGCCGCAAGGUGACGGUACCUGCAGAAGAAGCGCCGGCUAACUACGUGCCAGCAGCCGCGGUAAUACGUAGGGCGCAAGCGUUAUCCGGAAUUAUUGGGCGUAAAGAGCUCGUAGGCGGUUUGUCGCGUCUGCUGUGAAAGACCGGGGCUCAACCCCGGUUC
RNAcentral lists this ribosomal RNA (579 nucleotides) under uncultured Actinomycetes bacterium. RNAcentral's name for it is "bacterial SSU rRNA". It matches the Rfam family "Bacterial small subunit ribosomal RNA", at positions 33 to 621 of the family's 1533-position model. The record is from RNAcentral. Lineage: Bacteria; Bacillati; Actinomycetota; Actinomycetes.